RNAcentral lists this unclassified non-coding RNA (349 nucleotides) under soil metagenome. RNAcentral's name for it is "partial contains 5.8S ribosomal RNA, internal transcribed spacer 2, and large subunit ribosomal RNA". The stretch from base 1 to 120 matches the Rfam family "5.8S ribosomal RNA", at positions 35 to 154 of the family's 154-position model. The record is from RNAcentral.
GAUGAAGAACGCAGCGAAAUGCGAUAAGUAAUGUGAAUUGCAGAGUUCAGUGAAUCAUCGAAUCUUUGAACGCACAUUGCGCCCGCCAGCACUCUGGCGGGCAUGCCUGUCCGAGCGUCAUUUCAACCCUCAGGGCCCCUUCGGGGGACCUGGCGUUGGGGAUCGGCCCGCCCCCGUGCGGCGCCGUCCCCGAAAUAUAGUGGCGGUCUCGCUGCAGCCUCCCCUGCGUAGUAGCACACCUCGCACUGGAGAGCGGCGCGGCCACGCCGUGAAACCCCCAACUUCUGAAUGUUGACCUCGGAUCAGGUAGGAAUACCCGCUGAACUUAAGCAUAUCAAUAAGCGGAGGA